This 443-nucleotide ribosomal RNA is filed under the name uncultured bacterium. Its description in RNAcentral is "partial 16S ribosomal RNA". It matches the Rfam family "Bacterial small subunit ribosomal RNA", at positions 338 to 795 of the family's 1533-position model. The record is from RNAcentral.
CCUACGGGUGGCUGCAGUGGGGAAUAUUGGGCAAUGGGCGCAAGCCUGACCCAGCAACGCCGCGUGAAGGAAGAAGGCCCUCGGGUUGUAAACUUCUUUUGUCAGGGACGAAACAAAUGACGGUACCUGACGAAUAAGCCACGGCUAACUACGUGCCAGCAGCCGCGGUAAUACGUAGGUGGCAAGCGUUAUCCGGAUUUACUGGGGUUAAAGGGCGUGUAGGCGGGAGAUCAAGUCAGAUGUGAAAUUCCAGGGGUCAACCCUGGAACUGCAUUUGAAACUGUUUUUCUUGAGGGGUGGAGAGGCAGGCGGAAUUCCGUGUGUAGCGGUGAAAUGCGUAGUUAUACGGAGGAACACCAGUGGCGAAGGCGGCCUGCUGGACAUUAACUGACGCUGAGGCGCGAAAGCGUGGGGAGCAAACAGGAUUAGAUACCCCUGUAGUC